Camellia sinensis is the source of this 635-nucleotide long non-coding RNA. RefSeq lists it as uncharacterized. Lineage: Eukaryota; Viridiplantae; Streptophyta; Magnoliopsida; Ericales; Theaceae. The record is from RefSeq and is a predicted model, not a curated record.
GGGAUCUUAUGCGACUAUUUGAUGAGUAUGGCUCACCUUCAAUUGCUGGGGACAUAGCAUAUAUCGAUUAUCUCUUCUUAGGAGACUAUGUUGAUUGGGGCCAGCACAGCUUGGAAACAAUUACUCUUCUGCUAUCUUUGAAGGUCCUGUUUUGGAACUCUGAAGUUUGUCCAGUUGUGUUCAAGCUCAACUCCAGCUGACUGGUCCAUAUAAAGAAGAUUAUUUGUUUGUAUUUAGUUUAUCUAAAUUGCUAAUUGAACUAGUUCUAUAAUUAUAGUUGUAUAUGUGUAUGUAUUGGGCCUUGAAAAGAACAAGUUAGCAAAGAACUAGAAAGAGGAGGAUUCCAACCAACCUCAAAACAUGUUAGGAAGAGAAGUACAUAGAAGAUAAUUCAAUUUGCUUUUUUAAUGAAAUUUUAGGUGGUUUUACCUUGUGUUUCCUUCAUUGGAUUUGAACUCUUAUGAAUAAUUAUGGUUUCUCCAUCUGUUUAACAACUCCUCAAGCUUCCAAGGUUCCCUUUAACUUUCACAUGUGUUUAUGUGAGGAUGAGGUAACCAUUAUUACAGCAAAAAAGAGAGAAUAUGAUUGAACUACAUGAAUAUUUUUCAUGCAUGUUUCUUUUUAAACAAAAGUAU